UACAGAGGAUGCAAGCGUUAUCUGGAAUGAUUGGGCGUAAAGCGUCUGUGGGUGGCUUUUUAAGUCCACCGUCAAAUCCCAGGGCUCAACUCUAGACAUGCGGUGGAAACUACCAAGCUGGAGUACGGUAGGGACAGAGGGAAUUUCCAGUGGAGUGGUGAAAUGCAUAGAGAUUGGAAAGAACACCAACGGCGAUAGAACUCUGCUGCGUCGACACUCACACUAAGAGACAAAAGCUAGGGGAGCCAAUGGG
Molecule: ribosomal RNA, 253 nt
Filed under: uncultured bacterium
Lineage: Bacteria
Description: partial 16S ribosomal RNA
Rfam family: Bacterial small subunit ribosomal RNA
Source: RNAcentral